GAGGCUGUAUCUCAGUGGUAGAGCAUGUGCUUAGCAUGCACGAAGUCCUGGGUUCAACCCCCAGUACCUCCA
This 72-nucleotide transfer RNA is filed under the name Camelus bactrianus (Bactrian camel). It matches the Rfam family "tRNA". Rfam says of the family: Transfer RNA (tRNA) molecules are approximately 80 nucleotides in length. Their secondary structure includes four short double-helical elements and three loops (D, anti-codon, and T loops). Further hydrogen bonds mediate the characteristic L-shaped molecular structure. tRNAs have two regions of fundamental functional importance: the anti-codon, which is responsible for specific mRNA codon recognition, and the 3' end, to which the tRNAs corresponding amino acid is attached (by aminoacyl-tRNA synthetases). tRNAs cope with the degeneracy of the genetic code in two manners: having more than one tRNA (with a specific anti-codon) for a particular amino acid; and 'wobble' base-pairing, i.e. permitting non-standard base-pairing at the 3rd anti-codon position. The record is from Rfam by way of RNAcentral. Lineage: Eukaryota; Metazoa; Chordata; Mammalia; Artiodactyla; Camelidae. RNAcentral also lists the same sequence under 1 other name.